This 1447-nucleotide small RNA is filed under the name Pongo abelii (Sumatran orangutan). RNAcentral's name for it is "processed transcript". Lineage: Eukaryota; Metazoa; Chordata; Mammalia; Primates; Hominidae. The record is from RNAcentral.
AGAGCCUACAGUCACAGCAGCCCUGACUACAGCGUUCCUGGAGCCCAGGAUCUUUUCCACAGAGGAGGAAAGAGCAGGCAGCAGAGACCAUGGGGCCCCCCUCAGCCUCUCCCCACAGAGAAUGCAUUCCCUGGCAGGGGCUUCUGCUCACAGCCUCACUUCUAAACUUCUGGAACCCGCCCACCACUGCCCAACUCACUAUUGAAUCCACGCCGUUCAAUGUCGCAGAGGGGAAGGAGGUUCUUCUACUCACCCACAAUCUGCCCCAGAAUCAUAUUGGCUACACCUGGUACAAAGGGGAAAGAGUGGAUAGCAACCGUCUAAUUCUAGCAUAUAAAAUAGAAACUCAAAAAGCUGCCCCAGGGCCCGCAUACAGUGGUCGAGAGACAAUAUGCCCCAAUGCAUCCCUGCUGAUCCAGAACAUCACCCAGAAUGACACAGGAUCCUACACCCUACAAGUCAUAAGGUCAGAUCUUGUGAAUGAAGAAGCAACUGGACAGUUCCAUGUAUACCCGGAGCUGCCCAAGCCCUACAUCACCAGCAACAACUCCAACCCCAAGGAGGACAAGGAUGCUGUAGCCUUCACCUGUAAACCUGAGAUUCACAGCACAACCUACCUGUGGUGGGUAAAUGGUCAGAGCCUCCCGAAGAAAAUGCCCCAGGCAUUCCUGUGGGGGCCGUCGCCGGCAUCGUGACCGGGGUCCUGGUCGAAGUGGCGCUGGUGGCCGCCCUGGUGUGUUUCCUGCUCUUUGCCAAAACUGGAAGGUACCACAGCUUUUUCCCAUCCUCCUCCCACCCCCUAGGCUGACUCCAGGCCAGAAGAAAGGAGACCUUGUCCUGUAUUCAGGGCCAGGCUCUCCACGGCCCCCCAAGUCCCCAGGGAUCCUUCCCUCUUAUUCCACGGCUCCUCCCUCGUCAGCUCCUGACCCUGGGUUGCAGCCUCAACAGCUUCCUCCUCUGUGAAUUUGGCCCAAUUAAGGCCCCACCCCUGAGUGUGGCCCUAGUUCCCUCACACAGCAAAGCCACAGCUGCCUGGAGGGAGGGAGAGAAGGAGGGAAGGUAGUAGGGAGGGAGGGAGGGAAGGCGUGCUCUGUACUUGGUACCUCCCACUGUUCAUUGAAUCCACCCACACAGUGAGGGGGAUUUGCAGGCUCCAGAUCCUGGGCACCAUCAUACAAUGGGGAGUGGACCAGCCUGGACAGGCUGGGUGGGGUCAGCGCCCCCCAUGGCUGAUGUGGUAACCAUAGGCCCUGAGGUGUGAGAUGGGAGAACCUGGGCCUCAGAACAGCAUGUCCUGGAGCAUCCUUUGUGUCUCUUGCCAAGGGGUUGAGAGAGAGGACAAGGACACUGUCCCAUUUCAGCCCUGAGUGCAGGGUCUGGCCACAGCAGGGACACUGAGUUCCAGGAGAAUCCAAGACACUUGCGGUCCCCUCCGUGUCCUGCACAU